ACGCUCGACACCUACGGUAGGCAGCAGUGGGGGAUAUUGCACAAUGGGGGGAACCCUGAUGCAGCGACGCCGCGUGAGGGAAGAAGGUUUUCGGAUUGUAAACCUCUGUCCUCAGGGAAGAAGAUGACGGUACCUGAGGAGGAAGCCACGGCUAACUACGUGCCAGUAGCCGCGGUAAUCUGAGCGGGCUGGCAAGGC
This 198-nucleotide ribosomal RNA is filed under the name uncultured bacterium. RNAcentral describes it as "partial 16S ribosomal RNA". It matches the Rfam family "Bacterial small subunit ribosomal RNA", at positions 326 to 539 of the family's 1533-position model. The record is from RNAcentral.